RNAcentral lists this ribosomal RNA (497 nucleotides) under uncultured bacterium. Its description in RNAcentral is "partial 16S ribosomal RNA". It matches the Rfam family "Bacterial small subunit ribosomal RNA", at positions 28 to 507 of the family's 1533-position model. The record is from RNAcentral.
GAUGAACGCUGGCGGCGUGCCUAAUACAUGCAAGUCGAGCGAACAGACGAGGAGCUUGCUCCUCUGACGUUAGCGGCGGACGGGUGAGUAACACGUGGAUAACCUACCUAUAAGACUGGGAUAACUUCGGGAAACCGGAGCUAAUACCGGAUAAUAUAUUGAACCGCAUGGUUCAAUAGUGAAAGACGGUUUUGCUGUCACUUAUAGAUGGAUCCGCGCCGCAUUAGCUAGUUGGUAAGGUAACGGCUUACCAAGGCAACGAUGCGUAGCCGACCUGAGAGGGGGGGCGCCCCCAGGGGAACGGAGACCGGGCCCAGCCCCAGCGGGGAGGCACAAGUGGGAAAUUUCCGGAAGGGGGCGAAAGCCUGAAGGAGCACCCCCGCGUGGGUGAGAAAGUUCUUGGGUUCGUAACACUUUUUUAUGGGGGAAAAAAAAAUGUGAAAGUAACUAUGCCCGUUUUGAGGGUACCUAAUAAGAAAGCCACGGCAAACUAGGUG